GCAGGCAGGCAAAGGCAGGCGUCCCUUCGCGCUCUCCCCGCCAGACGAGUUCCGACUCUACGCUCGGCCGGACGUGACGUAACGCGCGCAGCGUGGAGAGCGUAGAGAACGUCGUCGCCGUCGUUCUAGUCCUCGUCGUCGUCGUCGUCGUCGUCGUCGUCGUCGUCGUCGUCGUCCACGUAGCCCGUCGUCAUUGUCGUGGUCGUCCUAGUCGUCGUUCUAGUCGUCGUUUACGUUGUCGUCCUCCACGUCGUCCUUCUCGUUCCUAUCUUGAUCCUCUCUCUCUCUCUCUCUCUCUUUCUCUCUCUCUCUCCUCCACACGCAAACAGAUAUAUAUAUAUACACACUCACGCACAUUUAUAUAUAUAUAUAUAUACAAUACACACACGCCACCUGUCUCUCUCUCUCUCUUUCUCUCUCCCUCUCUCCUCUCUCUCUCUCUCUCUCUCUUUCUCUCCCUCCGCGACGCAAACACCUGUGUCGUAUCGUGCACGGCGUGAUAUCGAGGCCCGUCGUGACGUUCCCUCGUCGGGGAUCAGUCGAGUGACAACGAUAACAGCAGGACAAUCUCCGCCGUCUCGUGUGGCACAGACGCGCCAGCACAACCGCGUGUGCCGUUCACGCACACCCGACACACUCUCCUCUCCUGCUUGUGAACGUAACAACAGUGUUCAAGCUUCGUUCGCGGUUAUCUCGAUCUUGGAAUCCCAUCAUUUUUGGCGGCGAUUAUAUUAGGACGGGGCGGAGAAGAGGGAAGUGUGAGAAGUGAAGGGGAAGAGAAGGGGGAGGAGGAGGAAAGGAAAAAGGGUGUGAAAGAGAGGAAGAAACUUGUUCGAGUGAGUGAGACGAGGAGAGGGAGGGGAAGUUGUUGGUGGCUCUUGAUGUGGUGAUUGAUUCGUGGAAUCAUCGUAGAAGAAUCGUAAAGGAGAAAGCUCGAGCCACGUGUGAUUUUUCUUUUUUCUUUUUUUUUUUGAUUUCCUCGUCAUCAGUUGGUGGAUUUGGAGAGAGAAAUUUUUGUAAAUCUUCGAGGCGGAGACAGACGGAUAGAUAAAGAAAGGAAGAUAAAGGAAAGAAGAGAGAGAGAGAUUUUGGUGUUUCGAAGUGUCGUUGGAGAUUGAACGGGGGUAUAAACGGAGACUCGGAGUGAAGGUAGGAGAGAAGCCGCGAGAAAGUUUUCGGGGGGGGAGGAAGAUCUGGAGGAAGAUCGCGAGGGAGGAGGCAGAUGCGAGGAGAGAUAUCGAGGCGAGGUAGCGUCGAGGCGAGGCGAGGAUGGUAAAGUAAUGUGGCGAGGGGGAGGAGUUAGCGCGAUCUUGGUGACGUCGCGAUAAAUAGACGCCGCGUAGACGGAUGGUAUGCGGUGACUUCUCCGAAUUAUCCCCGUCCACGGCGAUAAUAAACACGGCAAGCAAGACACGGUGUGUUGACGCCAGUUGCUUUCAAAAUAUUAUUACCGAUCGAGGUAAUAAUAACAUGCCACUCUCGACAAGGGCCAUAAACGAUUGAUCCGCGCUUAACCGCGAUCAUCGAUUACACCUAAACGUGCGCGCGCCCUGCAACGUUUUCGAUCGUCCGAAGACACGAUAUCGUCCCCUCGAUCGAGAGCCGGGGAAGGAGGAGGAGGAGGAGGAGGAGAAGAAGAAGAAGGAGAAGGAGGUGGAGGAGGAAGAGGAGAAAGAAGGGGAAGAAAGGAGGGUCGUAACGCCGUGGAAAAUUCGGCGUAGCGGUAAUCGUGGUUGAACGUGGAUCAUCACGUGACGGAACGGUAAGGAGGGAGAGCGCGUUCGCCGUUCGGCGAAACGAGAACGGCCCGAAGAUGCUGACCAUGUCGACCUUGAUGAUGCCCACCACCAUGACCACCAUGACGAAUCCCGGCCCUAUACCGGCGCACAGCAUGCCGCAGAAGAUAGAACCGCCUAAGCUGACCGCAGCAGCUACGCUCACCCACACGGCAACAGCCGGCAACAAAUCAGAACACUACCACAUAUUCGUAGGAGAUCUGAGCCCGGAGAUCGAAACGCAGACCUUGAGGGAAGCCUUCGCUCCUUUCGGCGAAAUCUCAGAUUGCAGAGUCGUGAGAGAUCCACAAACGCUCAAAUCCAAAGGAUAUGGAUUCGUUUCCUUUGUUAAAAAAGCGGAAGCGGAAAGUGCCAUCGGUGCCAUGAAUGGACAAUGGCUCGGUAGCAGGAGUAUUCGAACGAAUUGGGCGACUCGCAAACCCCCUGCGCCAAAAUCCGAGGCAAACGCGAAACCAUUGACUUUCGACGAAGUGUACAAUCAAAGUAGUCCGACCAACUGCACGGUGUACUGCGGCGGACUCACCAAUGGUCUAACGGAAGAGCUAAUGCAAAAAACCUUUUCGCCUUUCGGAUCCAUCCAAGAGAUUCGCGUGUUCAAGGACAAGGGUUACGCUUUUAUCAGGUUUUCUACCAAAGAAUCGGCGACACACGCUAUUGUGGCAGUUCACAACACCGACAUCAAUGGUCAAACGGUGAAGUGUAGCUGGGGGAAGGAGAGCGGGGAUCCGAACAAUGCUCAACAAACUGGACAGGCGUUAUCGUCGGCGACGUACCCAUACUACGCGGCGGCAGCAGCUGCCGCCGCGGCGGCGGCAGGCGUCGCGGGUGUCGGAGGCGUCGGUGGCGUCGGCGGUGCCGGCCAGCUAGGAUACUGGUACCCGCCCCAAUCUUAUCCGACGACAGCGACGCAGAUGCAAGCCGGUGGUUUCCUUCAAGGGAUGCAAGGAUACACUUAUGGCCAGUUCGCCGGGUAUCAACAGGCGCAAUACAUGGGAAUGGGAAUGGGUGUCCACGCUGCUGGCACGGCGGCAGGUUGGGGCCAGGGAUUACCCGGGGGACCACAGUUACCGCCACACCAUGCCACGACGGUCACGGCACCCCCAGGGGUGCAAGCCGCACCCCCACCACCACCACCUCCGGCACAAAUGAUGGCCUACCCGAUGCAACAGUUCCAGUAUGUAUUUGAAGAGAUAAGAGGGCCUAACGAUACAUAUUCGAGAUGAGGGAAUACUAAUGAAAAAGACUUAUAAACCCUAUCAAGAUCCUGCAUAAGAAUCUUUCAUCAGCAUGUGUUCUUGGUUGCGGUCCAGCUAGCGGAUGAGGACUGGCUGACGCCUAGCCUUCUAGUGUGAUGGUAAGCAAGUACACCCCACCAACAGGAACAACUUCUACAGCAACAACAGUUACCACUACCACCACCAC
Molecule: RNA transcript, 3218 nt
Organism: Apis mellifera (honey bee)
Lineage: Eukaryota; Metazoa; Arthropoda; Insecta; Hymenoptera; Apidae
Gene name: nucleolysin TIAR
Exons: 10
Source: RefSeq, a predicted model, not a curated record